UGACAUCGCCAUCAAAUUAGCCAAAGAAGGCGCAAAUAUUUUCUUCAAUUACAAUGGUAGUCCAGAAGCUGCAGAAGAAACAGCAAAACUCGUUGCUGAACAUGGUGUAGAAGUA
Molecule: small RNA, 115 nt
Filed under: Listeria monocytogenes serotype 4b str. LL195
Lineage: Bacteria; Bacillati; Bacillota; Bacilli; Caryophanales; Listeriaceae
Description: Ribosomal S15 leader
Source: RNAcentral